RNAcentral lists this ribosomal RNA (475 nucleotides) under uncultured Glomus. Its description in RNAcentral is "SSU rRNA". It matches the Rfam family "Eukaryotic small subunit ribosomal RNA", at positions 569 to 1046 of the family's 1831-position model. The record is from RNAcentral. Lineage: Eukaryota; Fungi; Glomeromycota; Glomeromycetes; Glomerales; Glomeraceae.
AGCAGCCGCGGUAAUUCCAGCUCCAAUAGCGUAUAUUAAAGUUGUUGCAGUUAAAAAGCUCGUAGUUGAACUUCGGGGUUUACUCAUUGGUCAGGCUUAAUUGUCUGUACUGGUGAGAUGAAUCUCUACCUUCUGAGGAACUUUCAUGCCAUUUAUUUGGUGUGGUUGGAAAUCAGGACUGUUACUUUGAAAAAUUAGAGUGUUUAAAGCAGGCUAACGUCUGAAUACAUUAGCAUGGAAUAAUGAAAUAGGACGGAUUGAUUCUAUUUCGUUGGUUUCUAGGGUCACCGUAAUGAUUAAUAGGGAUAGUUGGGGGCAUUAGUAUUCAAUUGUCAGAGGUGAAAUUCUUGGAUUUAUUGAAGACUAACUACUGCGAAAGCAUUUGCCAAGGAUGUUAUCAUUAAUCAAGAACGAAAGUUAGGGGAUCGAAGACGAUCAGAUACCGUCGUAGUCUUAACCAUAAAACUAUGCCGAC